This is a long non-coding RNA of Corapipo altera (White-ruffed manakin), 732 nucleotides long. RefSeq lists it as uncharacterized. The record is from RefSeq and is a predicted model, not a curated record. Lineage: Eukaryota; Metazoa; Chordata; Aves; Passeriformes; Pipridae. The transcript is spliced from 3 exons.
UGUCUAAGAGAACACAGAAGUUUCCUCUAUAUGCAAGAAUCAGUAAAGUACAAUAUGACAAAUAUAAUGAAGAACAAGAUGAGAGAUCAAUUGGAUACACAAUCAGAUGAAGUAGAAUUUACUGACUUGUAAAGAAGCUUCUUUGGAGGGCCAAACCACAACACUAUGGAACAAAACAACUAUGCUUGGGUUUAAUUCGGAACAAAACCUUACUCUUUGUUUUGUAAGUUUUAUUAAAAGAGAUAAAAGAAUUGCUAUACUUAAAUUAAUGGUUCAAUGGAUAUCUCAUCUCUUGAUUAAGUUUAUGGUAAGAACAUUACCAUCAAUUGUAAUGCCUGAAAAGGUUGUGGGAACUUCAGGAAACCAAGAUCUGACUACACAUCAUCAGAGUGCUUCAGAUCAGAACCUCAGUAUCUGAUUGUGGAACAGCUCCAUGAACAGAGACUGUGAGCAACCCUUCCUAGACUAGUUGAGAGCUUGUGGGGCAGAACACUCAUUUGGAUAAUAAAAUAAUAUCACCAUCAGGUCUUAAAUAGAAGUCUCCAACAUCAGAGUCUUCACCAUCACAGUCCUUGCUAUUAAAUUGUUGUGAUCUGUUUGGUGUUUUCCUGAAUGCAUAAAAUCUUUUUGUCCUCAAGAACUAGUAUGGUCUUGAUGAUAUGAUUAAUUUGACAACAUUUCCAGAUUUCUUAAAAAAAACCCCAAAACAACUGGAUUAUCUUUAGGCUAGUU